Gossypium raimondii (Peruvian cotton) is the source of this 107-nucleotide non-coding RNA. Lineage: Eukaryota; Viridiplantae; Streptophyta; Magnoliopsida; Malvales; Malvaceae. The record is from Rfam.
AACCUAUGGUGAGGGCACCGUCUCAAUAAGUCAUUAUACCUCUCACAUGCAUCAUAUAAGGUCUCUAAGUCAAACUGAAUGAAGGAAGAGAUAUCAUUCCUUAACUU